GCUCUCUGUGGGGGGCGGAGCUAAGCGGAGAGCGUACCGAAGGAGGCAAAAGCGGAUCAAUGGGGAAGCGGAGCGGAAGGGCGCCAGCGAAUGAGCGCGGGCCGCGGGGCAAGGGGCGGGGCCUGAGGAGAGGCCCGGGCGGGGCUGAGGGGCGCGGCUCCGGGAGAGCUGGAGGCGGAGGUUCAAGGCUAGCGGCGCUGGGUCUCUACUCCUCGCUGGGGGGGGUUGUUUGUUUGCUUUGCUUUUCCCUCCAGCUGGGUCCUUUGUUUUCUGCCGGCCUGUCCAGUGCUUCAGCCCUCCGGGAGCCCACACUGCUGAAGGCGGCAAGGUUGUGAAAGCGAGGAGGCGGGUGGGGUGUAGAAGAGAACAACCCGGUAUUUGGAACCCCAAGCACGUGGCACGCGUGGGAUGCUCCGUAAAAACCUGGAUUUCCAGACCCGCUAAUCGCUUACUUCUAUCCUGCGGCACUUCGAACUUAAUAUGGCCAAGACGGAAUUCAUCCAUUUUUCCAAACUCUGCACUGACUCCUCCUGUGCCCCCUGACUCAUAGGCACAGUGUUGUAAGCAGCAUGUCACAAGGCUCCACACCCAGCAUGGAACACAAUGCGGGGCCUGAACCCAC
This is a long non-coding RNA of Mustela erminea (ermine), 622 nucleotides long. RefSeq lists it as uncharacterized. The transcript has 3 exons. The record is from RefSeq and is a predicted model, not a curated record. NCBI's taxonomy places the organism in Eukaryota, Metazoa, Chordata, Mammalia, Carnivora, Mustelidae.